This 250-nucleotide ribosomal RNA is filed under the name uncultured bacterium. RNAcentral's name for it is "partial 16S ribosomal RNA". It matches the Rfam family "Bacterial small subunit ribosomal RNA", at positions 524 to 772 of the family's 1533-position model. The record is from RNAcentral.
CACGUAGGGGGCGAGCGUUGUCCGGAUUUAUUGGGCGUAAAGAGCUCGUAGGCGGUUCGCUAAGUCGGGUGUGAAACCUCCAGGCUCAACCUGGAGACGCCACCUGAUACUGGUGUGACUAGAGUCCGGUAGGGGAGUGUGGAACUCCUGGUGUAGCGGUGAAAUGCGCAGAUAUCAGGAAGAACACCAGCGGCGAAGGCGGCACUCUGGGCCGGUACUGACGCUGAGGAGCGAAAGCGUGGGUAGCAAA